UAGUGAGUUUGAUCCUGGCUCAGAACGAACGCUGGCGGCAUGCCUAACACAUGCAAAGUCGAACGAACCCUUCGGGGUUAGUGGCGCACGGGUGCGUAACGCGUGGGAACCUGCCUUUUGGUUCGGAAUAACUCAGAGAAAUUUGAGCUAAUACCGGAUAAUGUCUUCGGACCAAAGAUUUAUCGCCUUUAGAUGGGCCCGCGUAGGAUUAGCUAGUUGGUGGGGUAAAAGCUUACCAAGGCGACGAUCUUUAGCUGGUCUGAGAGGAUGAUCAGCCACAUUGGGACUGAGACACGG
Molecule: ribosomal RNA, 297 nt
Filed under: uncultured Erythrobacteraceae bacterium
Lineage: Bacteria; Pseudomonadati; Pseudomonadota; Alphaproteobacteria; Sphingomonadales; Erythrobacteraceae
Description: partial 16S ribosomal RNA
Rfam family: Bacterial small subunit ribosomal RNA
Source: RNAcentral